UCCUACGGGGCGCAGCAGUGGGGGAUAUUGCCCAAUGGGGGGAACCCUGAUGCAGCGACGCCGCGUGGGCGAUGGAGUGCUUCGGCAUGUAAAGCCCUAUCAGCAGGGAAGAAAAUGACGGUACCUGACUAAGAAGCCCCGGCUAACUACGUGCCAGCAGCCGCGGUAAUACGUAGGGGGCGAGCGUUAUCCGGAUUUACUGGGUGUAAAGGGAGCGCAGGCGGCGUGGCAAGUCAGAUGUGAAAACCCGGGGCCCAACCCCGGGACUGCAUUUGAAACUGCCAUGCUGG
RNAcentral lists this ribosomal RNA (290 nucleotides) under uncultured bacterium. RNAcentral describes it as "partial 16S ribosomal RNA". It matches the Rfam family "Bacterial small subunit ribosomal RNA", at positions 337 to 644 of the family's 1533-position model. The record is from RNAcentral.